RNAcentral lists this long non-coding RNA (2155 nucleotides) under Mytilus galloprovincialis (Mediterranean mussel). The record is from RNAcentral. Lineage: Eukaryota; Metazoa; Mollusca; Bivalvia; Mytilida; Mytilidae.
GGGUGUUAUGGGGCAAAAUAUUUGACCUUGUAUUGUAUGGAAAAACACCAUCCGAACAUUUGACAUGAAUUCCAAAACCUCACCUAAGUACAUUCUUGAGUUUAGAUAAACAACACUCUUGCAUUAGAAUAGUUUGUGUAAUGAUCUGACGGUAUUUUUUUGGGUCGAGUUCCAGGGUAUUUUUAGUUCAUUAACCUACUAGUAUUUCGAAAUUUGACAUAAAUCGAAUUUGGACAUUUCUUUUUUCCUUUUGAAGAAAAAGUCCUAAAUAUAUGAAAGACACAAUUCAACAUAUUCAUCAGGACAGUAAAACUGUAUGCACAAAACAGAAGCAAAUUCAAAUAAUUGAUAACAACAAUUAAAAAAUAAACACCAUGUAAAUGAAUAAACAUCAAAAAGCUGUGCUGUGCCAAAAAAGAAAAAAAGAAAAGCAAAACAUCUUUUAUAUUAUAUGACAGAAGUGCACUCUCUUCAUCUCUUGAUGACAAAUUAAUCAAGGUGUGUGGACUUUUAUUCUAAUUUGUCAGAUUAAAUGCAUUCUCUCCCGUUCUGUAAUGAGUGUUUGUUUGACUUUCAAAAAAUAUUCCAAAUAAAAAAUGACCCUACAAACCUUCAUGUUUUAUUUCUAGUUUUUAUAGUUACGACAUGAAUGACAUACAAGCUAUAUUCUCAUCUAAGAAAAUAACUUCGAGUAUUUAGAGUUACCAUGAUCUGACUUUUUAAAAAAAAACCAUGUACUUACAAUGAGGAUAUGGAUGGGGGUAUAUUCAUUUCAUAUGUAUUCUCACAACUUUUUAUAUGUUAGUUCUCUAUUAUUCUCUUAACCUAUCAACCCAUCUAGAUCCCUUUACAUUUUUACAAAUAUGUAAGUGAUACACUUCAAAAUGUUAUGAUAUAUUUCUAUAUUUAAACAUGUUUAAAACAAUACUUGAGUAAAACAAAACCAGUUCUAAAGAUGGUAUUGAUUUGAACUUUCUGGUAACGAAAAUUAAAAAUGACCCCUAUGUAAGUAACUCGUUCCCAUUUAAAUUUUUAUGUCCAAAAUAUAUGAUAAACGGGACAACUUUAGUAACUCAUUCCCGUGUAACCUUCAUUUUUUAAUAUAUAAUAAACUGGACAGCUUUUGUAACUCAUUCCCACGGUAAAUGUAUGUCUAAAUGUAUGAUAAACGGGAAAACUGUACUCUUCUCUUUUUAUUUUGUUUCUUAACGAUUGCGUUUCAUUCGCUCUUUAAAAAGAAAUUGAAACUAGGAGAGGUGACAAUGACACACACAAGUCAGACUUGAACGACACUGUUAUGGCAAAAUACAAAUACUAAAAACAUUCUACAAAAAAACCCAUAUCAAUUUAGAAAACAAAAAUAAAGAUUAUGCAAUAUGGAAAAAUAAAAAACAUAAAAAAAGAGGUGUGUUGUGUUAUAGAAUAUCUAUGUUUCAACGAUUAAAAGAAUAUUUUAUGAUUAAUUACUUUUGGUGGUUUGUAAACAAUUAUGUAUGUCUACAUUCGUUCCAGGUCAUUAGCUUGAAACGAAACUGAAACAAAUGUCCUCAUUAAUUUUAAAUAAUCAACACUCUUGCAAUGAAAUAGUUUGUAAAUUGAUCUGAGGGUAUAUUUCAUUGAUUGAGGUCAAGUGUGUUUUUAGGGGAGUCACUUACUUCGAAUUUCACAUGAAUUGAAUUUGGUCUUUUGAUUUUCCGUUCGAAGAAAAAGUCCAAAAUCUUUACACGAUACAAUGCAUUAAUCGAACAAUCAUCAGGUCAGGAAAACUAUAUAUACAGUAUAGGAACACAUAUAAAUGGUUGGUAAUCCCAAUUAAAAAAUUAACAUCAAAAAGUAGUAUCGCGCAUAAUUAAAACAAAAAGCAAAACACAUUUUUACAUGACAGUAGUACAUUCUUAACAAAAUGACCAAGGUUUACACUUUAACUUAAAAUCUAGAUUAAACUCUCGCUCUCUCUCUCUCAGUGAAGUUAGUUUGCGUAAGACUUUUAAAAAUAUCUUAAGGUGGUAUGGGAGUCUAAAAUAAAAAUGAUAGAAUUUGUUCAUACUUUGCCAAAACGUAGUAUCUAUUGAUACAUGUUGAAAAAUAUAAUAAAAAUGAUAGGUCACCGUGCAUUUUCUCCAGCUACAGGACGGGACAAAAUGACACAUUUUAU